This 380-nucleotide ribosomal RNA is filed under the name uncultured eukaryote. Its description in RNAcentral is "partial 18S ribosomal RNA". It matches the Rfam family "Eukaryotic small subunit ribosomal RNA", at positions 592 to 976 of the family's 1831-position model. The record is from RNAcentral.
CAAUAGCGUAUAUUAAAGUUGUUGCGGUUAAAAAGCUCGUAGUUGGAUUUCUGCCGAGGACGACCGGUCCGCCCUCUGGGUGUGUAUCUGGUUUGGCCUGGGCAUCUUCUUGGAGAACGUAGCUGCACUUGACUGUGUGGUGCGGUGUCCAGGACUUUUACUUUGAGGAAAUUAGAGUGUUUCAAGCAGGCACACGCCUUGAAUACAUUAGCAUGGAAUAAUAAGAUAGGACCUCGGUUCUAUUUUGUUGGUUUCUAGAGCUGAGGUAAUGAUUAAUAGGGAUAGUUGGGGGCAUUCGUAUUUAACUGUCAGAGGUGAAAUUCUUGGAUUUGUUAAAGAUGGACUACUGCGAAAGCAUUUGCCAAGGAUGUUUUCAUUGA